Molecule: long non-coding RNA, 1499 nt
Organism: Beta vulgaris subsp. vulgaris (sugar beet)
Lineage: Eukaryota; Viridiplantae; Streptophyta; Magnoliopsida; Caryophyllales; Amaranthaceae
Exons: 2
Source: RefSeq, a predicted model, not a curated record
CCACCCCACUUCUUUAUUCACUGUUCAUUUUCUUUUUACUAAACCCUAUCAUAACAUAUGAAAAUAGUAGAAUCUUCGACAUGAUACAUUGACCGACGUUGACCAAUUAGAGAAAACAAACUCCGUCGUCGUGGUCAACGUGCAAAAUAAACGCCUGAUCCUAUGGUCAGGCGCCCAAUUUAGACGCUUGCUCCGCUGGUCAGGCGCCGGCCUCACCCAGAAUCAGACAUCUAAAUUAGGCACCUAAGCAUAUUAUCAGAUUUUUUUUUUUUUGUAAAAACAUUGUUUAUAUUCACUAGUAGAAAAAGGUCAAUUUGCGUCGCCCCAUUUGCGUCGCACAAACACGGAAACGAUGCAAAUAUACUAUUUGCGUCGCAUGCAACAAUGAAUCGACGCAUAAGACGAACUAUGUGCGUCGUAUCUAAAUAAUGUGCGAUGCAAAUCAUCUAUGUGCGUCGCAUGAAGCCCAUGGUGCGACGCACAUAACAAAGUAAUCUGCGUCGCAUGAAGCCCAUGGUGCGACGCAGAUUACCAACCCAACACAAAGCCCCGUGUUUCAAAUAUAUCCUCAAACCCUAAAAAAAGUUGCAGCGAACAUUACAACCCAGCGCCUCUUUUUCAAAAUCCUCUCUUUCUCUCUCACCUUCACACCCCCUCUCUCUCUCUCUCACCCUCACCCUCACCCUCACCCUCACCCUCACCCCCUCCCUCUCUUCAGCGAAAACACCCAUAAACAUUUUCUUGCUACCCAUUUCUCUUUUUUCUACAAGAAAAACACCCACGAAAACACAAAAACCCCAAAAAAAAUGGCGAAACCCAGGUUGUGUUAUGGAGUAAUUUUGGUUCUUCUCACUUUCUUUGGUCAGCGAAGAAGACGAAUAGAACCAGCGAAAACUCAGUUCUUUUUAAUUUUGUAGAUCUAAUUUCGACUCACAUAACAAAGUAGUCUAAUACUUCUCUCUACUCGAAAAAACUUGAAACAAACGAAAAUUGAAGAAUCAGCGAAAACUCAGUUCAUGCAUCUGAAAACCACCAUGGAUGAUAACUUCUCUCUCCUCGAAAACUCUUUCAUUUUGUAGAUCUAAUUUCUGACGAAGAAGACGAAUAGAACCAACCACCAGUGCGGACUGUUGUCGAUGGAUUACCAGCGAGAGAGAAAAAAUAUGCGGUAUCUGGGUAGUUUUCUCGCCGGCGGAAUUUUUUUUGUUUCAAGUUUUGUUGCCGGCGUCCUCGAAGACGGUAGCGAACUCAAAAUGAAGAUGAAGCGUUUUGUUUUUUGUAAUUUCUGUAACUAUGUCAUUGAACUUUUGUUCCUUUUGUUGAUUUGCUUAUUUUUAUUUUCUGUGUUAGAUCUAGAAUAUGUGCGAACUUUCCGGCGGUUACUGGUUUUUUAUGGUUGUUUGAUGGUGAACUUUUCUUUUUGAAACACAGAAUUUGUGCGUAUUUUGUAUAAUUUGUACAAGUUUCUCAUUUGCGUAAUAUAAUUCUACUUUGUUUGA